AACAGCUGCGGUAUUAUAACUGUACUAAGGUAGCAUAAUAAUUUGCCUUAUAAAUUAGGGCUAGAAUGAAUGGUUUGACGAAAAUUAUACUGUCUUUAUUUUAAUUAAUAGAAAUUAAUUUUUAUAGUGAAAAAGCUUAAAUGAUUUAAAGGGACGAGAAGACCCUAUUGAGCUUUAUAUUAGUUAUAAUAAAUAAUAAAAUUUUAUUUAUUUGGUUAAAUAAUAUUAUGUUUAUUAUGUUUAAUUUUGAUUGGGGUGAUCAAGGAAUAAGAUAAGUAUAAUUUAACUUCCUUAAAAAUAAUUUUUUUAUAGAAUAAUUAACCAAUAAUAUUGCUUAUAUGAUAAGUUACCAUAGGGAUAACAGCGUAAUUUUUUUGGAGAGUUCAUAUUAAAAAAAAAGAUUGCGACCUCGAUGUUGGAUUAAAAUAACCAUAUGGUGACGAGGCUAUAUAUG
This 454-nucleotide ribosomal RNA is filed under the name Enteroctopus megalocyathus. RNAcentral describes it as "partial 16S ribosomal RNA". Lineage: Eukaryota; Metazoa; Mollusca; Cephalopoda; Octopoda; Octopodidae. The record is from RNAcentral.